GCCCGGUUGCCGUGGUUGCAGGCCCGGCCCGCCCGCUUGCUGGUUGACAGCGAGACUAAGAGCGGAGGGAAGUGGGUCCGUUGGUCUGUCGGGAACGAGG
This 100-nucleotide microRNA precursor is filed under the name Heterocephalus glaber (naked mole-rat). RNAcentral describes it as "mir-658 microRNA precursor family". It matches the Rfam family "mir-658 microRNA precursor family". Lineage: Eukaryota; Metazoa; Chordata; Mammalia; Rodentia; Bathyergidae. The record is from Rfam by way of RNAcentral.